Molecule: ribosomal RNA, 497 nt
Filed under: uncultured bacterium
Lineage: Bacteria
Description: partial 16S ribosomal RNA
Rfam family: Bacterial small subunit ribosomal RNA
Source: RNAcentral
GAUGAACGCUGGCGGCGUGCCUAAUACAUGCAAGUCGAGCGAACAGACGAGGAGCUUGCUCCUCUGACGUUAGCGGCGGACGGGUGAGUAACAAGUGGAUAACCUACCUAUAAGCCUGGGAUAACUUCGGGAAACCGGAGCUAAUACCGGAUAAUAUAUUGAACCGCAUGGUUCAAUAGUGAAAGACGGUUUUGCUGUCACAUAUAGAUGGAUCCGCGCCGCAUUAGCUAGUUGGUAAGGUAACGGCUUACCAAGGUAACGAUGCGUAGCCGACCUGAGAGGGUGAUCGGCCACACUGGAACUGAGACACGGUCCAGACUCCUACGGGAGGCAGCAGUAGGGAAUCUUCCGCAAUGGGCGAAAGCCUGACGGAGCAACGCCGCGUGAGUGAUGAAGGUCUUCGGAUCGUAAAACUCUGUUAUUGGGGAAGAACAAAUGUGUAAGUAACUAUGCACGUCUUGACGGUACCUAAUCAGAAAGCCACGGCUAACUACGUG